UUAAGAUUCAAAAUGACAGAAUAUUUAAUGUGACAGUUUUUCACAGAUUCUGGAUUUGAAGCUUGCAGCACGUUCCAAAAGAAAAAAGCUGGAAUGAGGGUGACGCAAGACUGGGAAAAACCACAGUACCCACUGGAAUAUGCAUACCCCCAUUUGAGAACCAAUCACCGAUAACACGUCAGCCCAAAAGCUGGAGGCAAAACCCUGUCGUUCACCUGAUCUCACCCUUCACAUUUGACUUGAUCAAUGGGGAGCUGUCCCCAUCAAGAGUCGCACUGUCAUCGUGCAGAUUAAUCAAGAUGUUGCCUGCAUGUGGAGUGGGCCGUCCUUAUGGUAAUCAGCCUGUAACUGGGAACGACCUGAAGGUGGUGAGAGACGACAGAGUGACUACAGUGCUGUGCCAGACCGUGUCAGGUCCGGCUGAGACGAGCCGGGUAUGGAUUCAUUGAUUGACAGCACGAGUGGAAGCUGCCAGGCUUGAGGCAUCGAGUCACUUCAGUCGAUUUGUCCUUGGCCGUCAGAGAGGACUGUGAUGACACACAGAAAGAGCUAUCAAAACACACAGUCAAUGUAAUGGAGUAAAGACACACUGAAAGUGAAGGCAACGCAAACAAUGACGGCGUGGCUUUGGGAAUGAUGCUAAAAUUAUUGGCAUCGUCUCCAAUGGCAGCUUCUCCUCAACAGGACGAGCUGAGCUGAGAGUUGGUUUAUUGUUCUGACAUUUAUCCUUGCAUUUAUAUAUGAAUUACAGAUUUGUCAGCAUAUAUGAGAGUCAAAAAGCCCUGAAUUAAUAACAACAUGUAUUUACUUUAAAUAUAUAUAAAAAAGGUAUUAGUUUUUACAUCCUCUAUUUGAAUAUAAAUGUAAGCACUUCUUUAAGUGGUGUUUCUAUCAGUCACAUCACUCUUUUUGGAGUAAAAAAAACCUGACGGAGAUCCAUCAAAUCCUUUCUCAAAACAUUCAUAAU
Cynoglossus semilaevis (tongue sole) is the source of this 967-nucleotide long non-coding RNA. RefSeq lists it as uncharacterized. The record is from RefSeq and is a predicted model, not a curated record. The transcript is spliced from 4 exons. NCBI's taxonomy places the organism in Eukaryota, Metazoa, Chordata, Actinopteri, Pleuronectiformes, Cynoglossidae.